CGCAUCUGUGCAUGCAGCAUAUCAAUAAGCGGAGGAAAAGGAAACUAACAAGGAUUCCCCUAGUAACGGCGAGUGAAGCGGGAGAGCUCAAAUUUGAAAUCUUAAAGGGUUUCCCUUUACGAAUUGUAGUUUAAAGAAGUGUUUUCUGUUGAGGUUUUGGUAAAAGUUCUUUGGAAUAGGACAUCAUAGAGGGUGAGAAUCCCGUAUUUGACCUUUACUUUCAACUUUGUGAUACACUUUCAAAGAGUCGGAUUGUUUGGGAAUGCAGUCCAAAAUGGGUGGUAAAUUUCAUCUAAAGCUAAAUAUUGGCGAGAGACCGAUAGCGAACAAGUACCGUGAGGGAAAGAUGAAAAGAACUUUGAAAAGAGAGUUAAACAGUACGUGAAAUUGUCAAAAGGGAAGCGUUUGACACCAGUGUUGUUUUUCUGAAAAUCAAUUAAAGAACUGUUUAUGCUAAGCUGUUUAGACUUUAUCAGCUAACUGUUUAGUUUUGAGCUUUUCUUUAAUGCACUUUUCAGUUAACAAGUCAACAUCAAUUUCUUUUGCUGUAAAAAGCUUGAGGAAGGUGGCUUGAGAUUCGUCCUUAAGUGUUUAUAACCUCUUGCCUAUGCAGUCGGAGAGAUUGAGGUCUGCAGCGUAGAUCCUUCGGGGCUAAAUGCAUUUGUGCUAAGUUAUAGCAUUUUAUAGACAACUUGUUGACUAUGAUUUGUCUUGUAGCUUACUCGCUUAUGUUAUUUUACCUACGCUUAGGAUGUUGACAGCAGUAUAGACUGU
This 774-nucleotide ribosomal RNA is filed under the name uncultured Neocallimastigales. RNAcentral's name for it is "partial large subunit ribosomal RNA". It matches the Rfam family "Eukaryotic large subunit ribosomal RNA", at positions 26 to 637 of the family's 3401-position model. The record is from RNAcentral. Lineage: Eukaryota; Fungi; Neocallimastigomycota; Neocallimastigomycetes; Neocallimastigales.